This 74-nucleotide transfer RNA is filed under the name archaeon. Its description in RNAcentral is "tRNA-Thr". It matches the Rfam family "tRNA". From Rfam's summary of the family: Transfer RNA (tRNA) molecules are approximately 80 nucleotides in length. Their secondary structure includes four short double-helical elements and three loops (D, anti-codon, and T loops). The record is from RNAcentral.
GCUAUCAUAGCUCAAUCUGGUAGAGCAAUUCCUUUGUAAGGAAAAGGUUCCGGGUUCGAUUCCUGGUGAUAGCU